RNAcentral lists this long non-coding RNA (2844 nucleotides) under Homo sapiens (human). Its description in RNAcentral is "HSALNT0102764". Lineage: Eukaryota; Metazoa; Chordata; Mammalia; Primates; Hominidae. The record is from RNAcentral.
GGAAAAUUGCCUUCAACAAAAUCUACGCCCUGCAGUGCUCCAACGUAAGCCACAGAAAUCUAGGCUGAAGCUUCUCUCAUUUCACAGAUUUACAGACAUUUAAGGAUACCUGUCUCUUGCCUCCUUAUUCUUCCCUUUCUUGAGUUAAACACACAUGGGUCUCUUAAUAGCACCGAGUGGUCCCCAGGACACUCUAGUGGGUCUCUAGCCAUUGGGUCCUUCUGCGGGGGACCUUAACUCAGUACUCUAGCUCAGUCUGAUUGGACAGGGAUGGAGCAAGUUCUUUGUGCUACUUAGUUACUACACAACCACUGAGGCGAGACUCAGGUGUACUUGCAGCCCCGGACAGGCUGAGUAGCUUCCUUCCAUGCUCUGAACAUAGAGCCCUGUAUGCACUGGUGCCCAGCUGAGGGCUCAUAGGCCCCUGGACAAGCGUCUCAGGAUGACUUAAAACUCAUUUUCAGGUCUGGCUCCUUAUUGCCAGACAUUUCUCUCUGCCACACCAUGUGUGUCUUGCUCUCUGUUCCAUCUGUGGCUCCCUUCCAACAAAGCCUGCCUGGUAUCUGCCUCAGAGUUCGCCCAAAAGAAACUUGGCAUCGAGGUUAAGAAAGACACAGCAGGACCUGUGUAGAGUCAGAGAAGGGAAAAACAAGUAUAGUCUGAGAAGGAAGGACUUCCACUCCUAAAUAUAUAGCGAAAACCUACUCAUCAUCUUCUGGGUGGACAGAGCCUGGUUUGUAUCACAGGAAGGGAUAUGGGAAUCAUGAUGCUGUCACCAAAUCAGGUAUCUCACAAAGGAUGAUCAGAGGAGGUCUUUGGAAGCUGAGAGGAUAUAGAUGAAUUUUAGAGAAGAUUAAAAUCUUCUCUCUACACAAUGGGAAGAAGUUAGCAGAGGUCUUUUACCUGGAAGAGCUGCACUGGCCAGCAAUUGAAGUGACUAUGCUCCCUUGCAUGUUGAGAAGAUGCAAAGUCAAGUGGCUGGAGAAACAGAACCACAUUUGCUGAGUACCUACAGUGUGCUAGAUGUUCCCCACAUUAUCUUGUGAAUCCUCCAAAUGGUCUUGCGAUGUAGAUAUUAAUUUUCCUGUUUUUAGAGAUGAGCCAACUGGGACUCAGAGCAUUUAAGUAACUUCCUCAAAAUUCCUGUCAGUAUGUAGCAGAGUUAGAGCUCAGUCUUGGGUCUUUCUGAAGUCAAAGCUUGUUUUCUUUUUGCUAAAGUAGCAGUUUUCAGUCCCAUCAGACCCAAGGCCCCUUUUUAUAAUAAAUAUCUUGUAACGUCUUCUUUACUACCCUGAAAAAAAAUCAUUGAAAACUAGUUUCUUUUCUUUUUUUUUCUUUUUUUUUUUUUUUUUGAGAUGGAGUCUCGCUCUGUCACCCAGGCUGGACUGCAGUGGCGUGAUCUCGGCUCACUGCAACCUCUGUCUCCCAGGUUCAAGCGAUUUUUCAGCCUCAGCCUCCCAAGUAGCUGGGACUACAGGUGCGUGCCACCACACCCAGCUAGUUUUUGUUUUUUUAGUAGAUACAGGGUUUCACUAUGUUGGCCAGGCUGGUCUCAACCUCCUGACCUCAUGAUCCGCCUUCCUUGGCCUCCCAAAGUGCUUGGAUUACAGGCAUAAGCCAUCACACCGGGCCUGAAAACUAAUCUUAUGUAUAGUACUUGGGUUUUGUUUGUUCGUUUGUUUUGUUUUUGUUUUUUGAGACAGGGUCUCACUCUGUUGCCCAGACCGGAGUGUAGUGGCAGGAUCAUGGCUCACUGUAGCCUCAACUUCCUGGGCUCAAGAAAUCCUCCCACCUCAGCCUCCCAAGUAGCUGGGGCUACAGGUGCAUACCACCAUGCCUGGCUAAUUUUUAUUUUUUGUGGAAAUGGGAUUUUGCCAUGUUGUCCAGGCUGGUCUCAAACUUCUGAGCUCAAGCGAUCCUCCCACCUCGGUCUCCCAAAGUACUGGGAUUACAGGCAUGAGCCACUGCACCUGGCCUAGUACUUGCUUUUCUUAAAAAAGCAAUAAUAUCUACAUAAAAACUUGUACACAAAUGUUUAUAGUGGCAUUACUCAUAAUAGCUAAAAAGUGGAAACGCCCAAACAUUAUCAACUGGAUGAUGGAUACAUAUAGUCUAUUCAUACAGUGGAAUAUUAUUCAGCAAUAAAAAAUGAAUGAAAUAUUGAUACAUGCUACAACAUAGAAGACUCUUGAAAACAUUAUGUUGAGUGAAUGAAACCAGUCACAAAGAACAAUAUACCAUGUGGUUCAAUUUAUAUGAAAUAUCCAGAAUAGGCAGAUCCAUAGAGAUGGAAAGUAGAUUAGUGGUUGCCUAGAGCUGGGGGAUGGAGGGACUGAGGGUGAAAUCUAAGGAAAGCAGGAUUUUUUUUUUUUUUUUUUGAGACGAAGUCUCACUUUUGUCCCCCAGGCUGGAGUGCAAUGGCACGAUCUCGGCUCACUGGAACCUCUGCCUCCUGGGUUCAAGCGAUUCUCCUGCGUCAGCCUCCCAAGUAGCUGGGAUUACAGGCACCUGCCACCAAGCCCAGCUAAUUUUUGUAUUUUUAGUAGAGACAGGGUUUCACCACGUUGGCCAGGCUAGUCUUGAACUCCUGACCUCAGGUGAUCUGCCUACCUCGGUCCCCCAUAGUGCUGUGAUACAGGUGUGAGCCACCGCGCCCGGCUGACCGAGCAGGAUUUUUUUGAAGGGUGUAAUGAAAGGAUUCUAAAACUGAUUGUGGUAAUGGAUGCACAAUUGUGACUAUACUAAAAACCAUUGAGUUGUAUACUUUAAGUGGGUAAAUUGUAUGGUGUGUGAAUUAUAUCUCAAUAAAGUACUUUUUAAAAAGCAAUAAAAUAAUGUCUUGGC